AUAUCAAUAAGCGGAGGAAAAGAAACCAACAGGGAUUGCCCUAGUAACGGCGAGUGAAGCGGCAACAGCUCAAAUUUGAAAUCUGGCGCAAGCCCGAGUUGUAAUUUGUAGAGGAUGCUUCUGGCCAGCGGCCGUUCUAAGUUCCUUGGAACAGGACGUCAUAGAGGGUGAGAAUCCCGUAUGUGACCGGCGCGCAGCCUUUACGUAGCUCCUUCGACGAGUCGAGUUGUUUGGGAAUGCAGCUCUAAAUGGGAGGUAAAUUUCUUCUAAAGCUAAAUACCGGCCAGAGACCGAUAGCGCACAAGUAGAGUGAUCGAAAGAUGAAAAGCACUUUGGAAAGAGAGUUAAAAAGCACGUGAAAUUGUUGAAAGGGAAGCGCUUGCAACCAGACUUCGUAGCGAUGUUCCGCCGGUCUUCUGACCGGUCUACUCAUCGUCGCGAGGCCAACAUCGUCUGGGGCCGCCGGAUAAGACCUAAGGAAUGUAGCUUCCCUCGGGAAGUGUUAUAGCCUUUGGUGAUGCGGCGCGUCUCGGGCGAGGUCCGCGCUUCGGCAAGGAAKUUGGGC
This 565-nucleotide ribosomal RNA is filed under the name Fulvia fulva. RNAcentral's name for it is "eukaryotic LSU rRNA". It matches the Rfam family "Eukaryotic large subunit ribosomal RNA", at positions 40 to 631 of the family's 3401-position model. The record is from RNAcentral. Lineage: Eukaryota; Fungi; Ascomycota; Dothideomycetes; Mycosphaerellales; Mycosphaerellaceae.